RNAcentral lists this transfer RNA (77 nucleotides) under Gammaproteobacteria bacterium. RNAcentral describes it as "tRNA-Arg". It matches the Rfam family "tRNA". Rfam says of the family: Transfer RNA (tRNA) molecules are approximately 80 nucleotides in length. Their secondary structure includes four short double-helical elements and three loops (D, anti-codon, and T loops). The record is from RNAcentral. Lineage: Bacteria; Pseudomonadati; Pseudomonadota; Gammaproteobacteria. RNAcentral also lists the same sequence under 1 other name.
GGCCCGGUAGUUCAGCUGGAUAGAACGGUCCCCUCCUAAGGGACAGGUCGCAGGUUCGAAUCCUGCCCGGGUCACCA